CAGAAUUCAUUGUCGGAAGGAAAUAUAAACUGCUUUGGAAGAUCUGGUGUAGCUCCUUCGGAGACAUCUGUCUGGCGAUCAGCAUCACCAACGGUGAAGAAGUGGUAGUGAAGCCAGAAUCUCAGGGCCAGGCAUCCCCAGUUGCUGUACAAGAGCAGGCUUUACAAGAUGCUUCAAGGUGGGGUUGGCAUCCCCCACAUACGGUGGUGUGGUCAGGAAGAAGACUAUAAUGUACUAGUCAUGGAUUUUUCUGGGACCUAGCCUCGAAGACCAAUUUCUGUUCAAGAAGGUUCACAAUGAAAACUGUACUUAUAUUAGCUGACCAGAUGAUCAGUAGAAUUGAACAUGUGCAUACAAAGAAUUUUAUACACAGAGCCAUUAAACCAGGUAACUUCCUAAUGGGUAUUGGGCGUCACUGUAGUAAGUUAUUCCGUAUUGAUUUUGGUUUGGCCAAAACGUACGGAGACAACAGGACAAGGCAACACAUACCAUACAGAGAAGAUAAAAACCUCACUGGCACUGCCCUGUAUGCUAGCCAUGCACAUCUUAGUAUUGAGCAGAGUCGCCGGGAUGACAUGGAAUCGUUAGAAUAUGUUUUGAUGUAUUUUAAUAGAACCAGCCAACCAGCCUGCCAUGGCAAGGGCUAAAGGCUGCAGCAGAGAAACAAAAAUAUGAAAAGAUUAGUGAAAAGAAGAUGUCUACUCCUGUUUUUUGUAAGGGGUUUGCUGCAGAAUUUGCCAUAUACUUAAACCCUUGUCGUGGGCUACACUUAGAGAAAGCCCCAGAUUACAUGUAUCUGACGCAGCUAUUCUGCAUUCUUUUCAGGACCCUGAUCCAUCAAUAUGACUACACAUUUGAUUGGACAAAGUUAAAGCAGAAAGCAGCACAGCAGGCAGCCUCUUCUAGUGGGAGGGGCAGCAGGCCCAAACCCCAACAGGUAAGCAACCUGACAAAACCAAGGGUAACAUGAAAGGUUUCUAA
Molecule: long non-coding RNA, 981 nt
Filed under: Homo sapiens (human)
Lineage: Eukaryota; Metazoa; Chordata; Mammalia; Primates; Hominidae
Description: non-protein coding lnc-MEIS2-2:7
Source: RNAcentral